Molecule: ribosomal RNA, 636 nt
Filed under: Mucor racemosus
Lineage: Eukaryota; Fungi; Mucoromycota; Mucoromycetes; Mucorales; Mucoraceae
Description: eukaryotic LSU rRNA
Rfam family: 5.8S ribosomal RNA (bases 240-392)
Source: RNAcentral
UCCGUAGGUGAACCUGCGGAAGGAUCAUUAAAUAAUCAAUAAUCUUGGCUAGUCCAUUAUUAUCUAUUUACUGUGAACUGUAUUAUUAUUUGACAUUUGAGGGAUGUUCCAAUGUUAUAAGGAUAGACAUUGGAAAUGUUAACCGAGUCAUAAUCAGGUUUAGGCCUGGUAUCCUAUUAUUAUUUACCAAAUGAAUUCAGAAUUAAUAUUGUAACAUAGACCUAAAAAAUCUAUAAAACAACUUUUAACAACGGAUCUCUUGGUUCUCGCAUCGAUGAAGAACGUAGCAAAGUGCGAUAACUAGUGUGAAUUGCAUAUUCAGUGAAUCAUCGAGUCUUUGAACGCAACUUGCGCUCAUUGGUAUUCCAAUGAGCACGCCUGUUUCAGUAUCAAAACAAACCCUCUAUCCAACUUUUGUUGUAUAGGAUUAUUGGGGGCCUCUCGAUCUGUAUAGAUCUUGAAACCCUUGAAAUUUACUAAGGCCUGAACUUGUUUAAAUGCCUGAACUUUUUUUUAAUAUAAAGGAAAGCUCUUGUAAUUGACUUUGAUGGGGCCUCCCAAAUAAAUCUUUUUUAAAUUUGAUCUGAAAUCAGGCGGGAUUACCCGCUGAACUUAAGCAUAUCAAUAAGCGGAGGA